Long non-coding RNA from Bufo gargarizans (Asiatic toad), 2512 nucleotides. RefSeq lists it as uncharacterized. The record is from RefSeq and is a predicted model, not a curated record. Lineage: Eukaryota; Metazoa; Chordata; Amphibia; Anura; Bufonidae. The transcript has 2 exons.
GUUAAUAUCACCAACCAUUCCCAUUUUAUUAAGGUGUAUCCAUAUAAAUGGCCCACCCUGUAGAUUAAAUAUAACCGAGCGAAGCCAGGUCCUUCAGCUAGUAAUUAAAAUGGUAAAUCAGUCAAUAUUAAUUGUUCUGAAAGGGUUGUCUCAUGGGGUUGUCAUAAAGACUUGUUAGGCACCUCAUUGUAGUAGCCAUUUCAGAGUACCACUAAAAAAGAACAGCUCUUACAGACCUGAGCUAUCCAUGUGUGACAUAGCUAACCAUUCAUUUGUAUCACCCGAAUUUAACACUGUAUUUAUCCCUGCUGGCUGCUUCAGGGGAAAUGUAUGACCAGCAACAACUUAUGAACCUGGCUCACUGAUGAUCUAGACCAACUCCUGUUUUAAAAGAGUUUAUCUUGUUGAGACAACCCUCUAAAGCAGGCAUCCUCAAACUGCGGCCCUCAAGCUGUUGUAAAACUACAACUCCCAUAAUGCCCUGCUGUAGGCUGAUACCUGUAGGCUGUUCAGGCAUGCUGGGAGUUGCAGUUUUGCAACAGCUGGAGGGCCGCAGUUUGAGGAUACCUGCUCUAAAGAAGUAUGCAAGUUUGGGCCUUAAAGUUAACUAUUUCUUUUUCUUUUUUUCUAAAAUAAAUUUAUUUUAUAUGACACCAUAAAACAAUUUAUUUCUUAAUUUCAUCAUAAUUUUUAUUUGUGAUAAAUGCCAAAUUAAUAUAAGUUAUUACUGAUUAGUGACUGGGAACAAUUUCAUUAAGACCCCAUGUGCAUUUCACUUCUUACCUACAGACUUUUUUUUGCCUGUAUUCCUGGCCAUUCCCCUACUUUUGAUGUCAAAUCUUUAUUAAGCACACUAAAUCAACAAUUUUAGUACUGUUCCUGGGCUAGCCCCUCUUUUAGUGAUUUUAGUGGAAGGUCUUAGUGUCAUACUCCACCUCCCUCCUGUAGUGUAUUAACAUUUAUAAUGUGAGGGGUGGUGCAUGACUGUCAUGAGUUUAGGAUUUUAGAUGGCUUUAGUAAAUGAAUCCAUCAGAAUUAAUGAAACAGUGAAGUUGAGGUCAAUAACAUUCCAGAAUAUUUUUUGUUUUAUUUUUGUAAGAAAAAUAGGGUUAAAAAUAACAAAUACCCAUUACUCACCUCACUGAUCCCCUGCCACUGCCAUUACAAUGCUGCUCUGGUCUCAGUGACCUGUCUAUGAAAGUAAAAUCAGUGAGCAUGCUUAUACCUUCAAAGGGUGGUGAGAUGUUUAGAAAUGAGGUACUGUCCUCUAUGUCCAUAUUAAAGUGAUUUUCUGAUUACUUUACAAAUUUUCCCAGUGCAAGGAAUGGACAUAUAUAAUUAUGGUAACAUGGGGAAAGCAGGUUGAAAAUUGAGUUUAUUCCCACCUGAACAUUUAAAUUUAAUUUUGUAAAAUCUUAAAGGGGUUAUCACAUUACAACGUACCAAGUUUCCAAAAAACAAGGAAUACGUGUCUGAUCUGCUGCAGUCCAACUGCUGGGACUCCCACUGAUUAAUACAACAGGGCUUAUGUGCCCCAGUUUGAAUGGAGUAGCACACUGGUUGGGAAACACUGGAGUAGUGGACAUUGUGUGUGUGCUUCUACUCCAUUCAAGUCUGUGGGACUGCUGGAAAGAGAUGAGUACAGGUGUUUGGUUAUCUCUGGCAGCUCCAUGUAGUUGAAUAGAAAAGUAGCAGCACACAUGCCUGUCCACUACUCCAUUCCAGUGAUUAUCGGGCACCCCUGUGGUUGGACCUCUGCCGAUCAAACACUUAUCCCCUAUCCUGCGGAUGGGACAAACCCUUUAAGUGUUAAGCACAAGAGUUAUAAUGUGAAAUAUUUCCCUACUAAAGGAUAAUAUACAAAAACCUUACUCAUUUGUGUCAAUAUGUGCCUAAUAGUCAUAUUUUAAGAGAUUAUGCAGUUAAUUAUGAAAAAGAAGUAGAUGUAUGAAAUUACAGUAAAAGGGUCAACCAUACUUGUAUAUGUUGCUACACUUUUAUUUUAUUGUGUUGUUUCCUUUUUACUACCAUGUAGUAGAAUAUUAAUCUAUUAAUGCCUGUUAUUUUUUAAUAGUGUAAAGAUUAGUACUAGUCAGUUCGUUUUCAGCUUCCACACUGACGUGUAUUCAUUCCUUACUGUACAGUGUAAUUAUUCUUUAGUCAGUUAUUGCUAUACUGUUUUGUGUUAGCCAUAGUGCACUGUGGCUAGUAAGGCCUUCCAUGUACAUAUUUAUUUAUUGUUUUUUUUUUAUGUGUCAUUUGAUGUUUGUUUCUAUAAGCUUCAACAUAUUCAGAACACAUAGUCAUGUCGUGCUGUUGUAUAAAAGAGCAGAGUGUGGUAUUUGAUAAGGUCAUGGGGAGAUAGUGCCUUUUACUAUAUCGCAUGUGCCUUUCACUGUAAUACUGAAAUACAGUUAAUGUGUGAAGCUUUUUUUCAUUUAGAUGAUGUGAUGUAUAGCUUGUUCUAAACUGAAAAUUGUUAUAAUUUGAAAUAAAUACACAUUUCUUUAAA